GAUGAACGCUGGCGGCGUGCCUAAUACAUGCCAGUAGAACGCUGAAGGAGGAGCUUGCUCUUCUGGAUGAGUUGCGAACGGGUGAGUAACGCGUAGGUAACCUGCCUGGUAGCGGGGGAUAACUAUUGGAAACGAUAGCUAAUACCGCAUGACAACAGUUAUUGCAUGAUAACUGUUUAAAAGGGGCAACUGCUCCACUACCAGAUGGACCUGCGUUGUAUUAGCUAGUUGGUGAGGUAACGGCUCACCAAGGCGACGAUACAUAGCCUACCUGAGAGGGUGAUCGGCCACACUGGGACUGAGACACGGCCCAGACUCCUACGGGAGGCAGCAGUAGGGAAUCUUCGGCAAUGGACGGAAGUCUGACCGAGCAACGCCGCGUGAGUGAAGAAGGUUUUCGGAUCGUAAAGCUCUGUUGUAAGAGAAGAACGAGUGUGAGAGUGGAAAGUUCACACUGUGACGGUAUCUUACCAGAAAGGGACGGCUAACUACGUG
Molecule: ribosomal RNA, 495 nt
Filed under: uncultured bacterium
Lineage: Bacteria
Description: partial 16S ribosomal RNA
Rfam family: Bacterial small subunit ribosomal RNA
Source: RNAcentral